Cyprinus carpio carpio is the source of this 5727-nucleotide long non-coding RNA. NCBI's taxonomy places the organism in Eukaryota, Metazoa, Chordata, Actinopteri, Cypriniformes, Cyprinidae. The record is from Ensembl.
UCCAAACUAUAUUAAUAAUACUAAAAUAACAAUCAUUUUACCUUUUCCAUGAGUUAGUAUUUGAAAUGAAGGGAUAGUUCAUUCAUCAAUUAAAAUUUUGUCAUCAUUUAGUCAUCCUCAUGAACACAAAUACAUUAAAAAGAUUAAAAAUGUCUUUUGUCCAUGAAAGUCAAGUCAUGAAAGUCAAAGGGGUCCAAGUGUUGUUUGGACCACAACAUUUUUGUAAGUAAACAAUGGCAGACAUUUCAAAGCAAACCUUACAAAAAACUGUGACGUUUCAACAAAUAUAUAUAAAUAUAUAUUACAUUUUAAAAGUGAUUGUAAUUCUCCUCAUUAGGAUGUAAAGUGGGCAAAAAGCGAAGGUAAGCUACAAAGUGAGGAUAAUUAUAUCUCAAGGUCUUUUAUAAUGGUGAGGCCAUGAUGGAGGUUUAAGUGUUCCCUGGUCUCCACUCUUAUGUUCUUGAAUUCCAAGUACUGCCCUCUGCUCUCGCAUCCUCCAGGAUACAGUUAUUGAUGUUCCUGAGAGUGCUUAAAGGAUUUGCAGAGAAGUCCCAGCUUCUCUUUUAUUUUAUUGCUUUAUUACAAAUUACAUUGGCAGAACUUUUCAGCGCAACUCUGUUCAGCGCAACUCACUCCAACCUCAUCUUUAGCACUCUGCAUUGUUAUCAACAGAAGAAAAGUCUUUGAAAGAACUGAUUUCCAAAGUGUUAUCCCCUUAUAGGAACAAAAAAUGCAUUUGUCAUCGAAACUAAUUUGAAGUCACAUAAGGGUACUUAGAUUUAGUCUAAAAGCGCACUUAAAGACAUAGUUCACCCAAAAAUAAAAUUUCUGUCAUUUGCUCACAUUUCCAAACCUGUAUGACUUUCUUUUCUUCUGUUGAACAUGCAGUACAUGCACAAAAAAAAUAAUAAUAAAAUAUAAAUAAAUAAAUAAAACGGCAAUCUUACUUUCUUUUGUGUUGCACAAGAAAGUUUAAGAGUGACAUGAGGGUGAGUAAAUAAUAACAUAAUUUGUAUUUUAGGGUGGACUGUCCCUUUAAGGUACUUUAACUUUCAUCCAUCACUCAAGUUCAUGAUCUGGAUUAAGAUGCCGUAUAGUUCUGUGAUCUUAACAUCUCCAUUGUGGCUCUGGAUUACCUGUGUUUAAUAGUUCAGUUUAGAUCUACCACUCUGCUGACUGUGGUUCUUUUUGCUGCAUGUUAUUCCUGCUCGGGAAUCUCAAUCCCAGGCUUUUCACGGCCACUCGUCCAAGGAGGGGGAGAAAAAGGUGGGGGAAACAAUUUCAAAGCUCCCCCGUAGCCGAUACAAAGCUGAGAACAACCCUUGGCGGGAUAAUCGUGUUUAUCCCGAGAUUAAGACGAGAUCGACAGCUGAGGUAUCCAAGGGGAAUUUUACCGUAAAACACACAUUGGUCUUUAACACGAACCCAAGAGAUGCUUCUGAGUCAUUUCUCACCACUGAUCAUUUCGUAGUUACGAAAGCAAUUCGUAACUCGUCUAUUCUUGUUAAGUGUCUUCAUUAACACGAUCCAUUCUCAAAUUGUCCUCAAGAGAUAUCUUUGGUAAAGCAUGCAUUAAAAAUGACUUCUAUAUAAGAUAUAAAUAUAUAUACAAGUGUGAACUUUCUCAGAAAGCAAUAGCAGCUUCCAUUCUCCCUGCAGUCAUGUACGUUUCCAAAUCUAAUCUGGCACUAAAUUUUUAUCACAACAGCAUGAAAUAAAAUCUCACAGAGCUGGCUUUAAGAAAUAAAUAUGUGAAGCCCUAUAACACUGGACAUAAAGAUGACAUAUGACAGGGAGAAAACUGUUAGUAUGCCAGACAAAUAUUCCCAGAAAGCCACCUCCCAUAGGCCUUUGAUAUUAUCAUGCCAGCUGCAGCAACUGCCACAUGGGGCCACAGACUGAGCCAGACAGUAAAAGCCCUCCCCCACCUCUUCUAUUCUCUGCCAAACACACGUUUCCUCGAUAUUUCAUUGUUCAUCAGUGUAUUUAUUAACGUCAAUUGUUUAUCUCACUCUAUUUUUUCCACCGCGUUGCUGUUGAGAGCAGAAAACCUCAGUUAGUGACACAGUGUCCUCGAUUGCUUUGUAUGCAAGUCCUCCAACUCUCCUGCAAUACUUGUUUUCCCCUGUUCACUGCAUCCAUCUGCUUUUUUUCUAUUUUAUUUAGCAUAAUUAAUUCCUCCUUUUUUGUGAUUCACCUUUUGCUUGCUGUGAAAUACUGUUGCUGUCCCAGUGCAAACUUUCUCUGUGGUUUUCUGUAUCACUGCCUCCAUUUUACUGGGUAAUAUAUUGUAAUGGAGCUUUAAUUAAUUGCUUGCCCAACUGCUGUGCCCUAGCAAAAGGGGGAGAGGAACAAACUGUCCUUUAAAUUCAACUCCAGUUGUUUGAGAUUUUACAUGCAAAAUGCAUUAAUAUAUACACAGAACUUUAUGAUUCAUAAAUACUUUGCAAUGCACAUCAUGCAUGAUAUCAAAUCCAUUACAUUUAUGCAUUUAGUAGAUGCUUGCAAAUCCAAGUGGCUUUGGAUACAAAAGCAAUUCGUCACGGAGCCAACAAUAAUUACAAUAAAAUAAAGAAUUAAACUGCAUACACUAAGACAAAAGAUAUACAAUAUAAAAUGCUAUACUUUAGAAUACACACUCAUAUUAAUCAAUUAGCACUGACCUUUAACGAUUUAAAACUCGAUAACAACUUGAUACUCUAGCAGGCACUGCAGAAAAGAGUGCAUCUAUUGCGUGAGCACACAUGAUUGUGCAAAUGCUCAUGCAAUUCCUGACCGCACAAGCAUAUAGUGCUGCUAACACACUCUCGAAGCAGCCUGAGAAAUAAAGCCCCAUCCUCAGCCGUUCCCUGAGGAUAGUCUCUUAGGGUUUUGGUGCUAAUUUAGGCAUCUGGCUCUGUCUGGGCCUGAGCAUCUUUCUCAGCUUAUUACCCUCCACUGUCUCUGGCACUCCAUCCGUACAGACAAUGGUGGGAAACAGGGGGGACUGCGGACCCACGUCAAGUACUCGCCUUACAAUGCUGCCAUUGUAGAAGAGGAGAGGGGUCUGGAAUAAUAAUGUGGGCACUAUCAAACUGUUUACCAACAAAGAGACUACAGCUGACAAUUUGCUCCUUAUUUAUCACAAAUCAUCAUUUGUGGUAUUGCUAUUGAUGCUUGCAUACGUGUAAGGAGAAGCUGUGUAAAAAAAAAACACACACACUCUGAAACUGAUUGACUUUCUUGCACACAGACACGAAAACACAUUUUUCAUCAUACACACAGAUGCAAAUGACCUUGUGUUGAAGUGAUUAUUGUGCCAGACACCUUGGGAGACAUUUCAAGGAAUUGCCCUUUUCAGUCGAUGAAAAAAUAUAAUCACAGUCAUGCCUAAAAUCCACAUAUGCUACUCCAUAAAGCACAUUAUGUUGGACUGCUAACAGAGAGAGCUAUAGUAAUCCAAAUGUGCUAAGGAUUUUUUUAAUAUUUGAAUUAUUCGAUUUUAUUUUUGUAUGAAUUUAGACUGGAUUUUUUUCUUAGCAGUGCAGCGCAUUAUUCUAUAGCUUUUGUGUUUGCAGAAAGGAAAAAAAAAAAACAAAUAUUUCAUUUUUCUGACUUUACGCAUGUGCACAAUCUGUUUGACUGAAAACACAAAGAACUGGUAAACCACAAAAACAAUACAUAGUUCAGCGCUUGAUUUGCAUAUUGAAAACUGGAAAAAUCUGGUAUGGGUUUGGCACUGUGCCAAGCGGCAUAAUUAACACUUUUCAUCCACUGCUCUGCAGCAGUCACAUUAUGCUCUGACAAGCAUCCACUCCCCCUGCUCGACCGCUUAUACCCACACACACAACAUGAACACGCAAAUGCGAAUGUGAACAUUUAUUCUUGCUUCUAUACAUUUGUAAACACUGUUAACAUUUGCUGUUAAACCUACAGUUUUGCUAUCAUUAUGCACCAUUUGGGCAAAUGCAGUGUUGUUGUGUUACAGUACAGCAUUAGACUCUCUGAUUAAGGGUUUAAAAUGAGUUUUGUGUCCGUAUGAGAGAUAUUUAAGCAUUGAAGGUCUUUUACAUAAAACCCUGAGAGAUGCAGAAGGAGGAAACCCCUCCCCCUCACAGCAAGAUACACAGCAUAAUUAGAAAUUCCCUAUUAAAGGUACAGUCUCUCAAUUCUAGGCUACUAUUUUGUCCAAGGACGAGUUUAAAAUGUAUGCAUUGAGUGUUUGGUCUCAAAGAGAGACGCUCAGUUUUGUAUCAUCUUGAAAAAUCUAUUUUUCUUCUGCAUGUAGAUAGAGAAACCAUUUCCAUAUAUUAAUAAUAUAAUAACAUCUAUUGAGACAAAUGUGCGGUGGUAAAUCUUAAAUCUGUAGCUUUGUGUUGUAGCAUAAUCAUAAUUUUUUUUUUUGUCUAUUACAGGCUCACAAAAACUCCUAAAUUAUUAAACCCCUGGCUAUUUCUUUUAAAAUUAUGAACAUGGAUUGUUCUUGUCUAUCAUAUGCAAAACUGAGAAAGCGAAUGCUCCUGCUAAAUAUAGAUUGCAAAAAUAAAAUUUUGCAUUCAGAAUGGACACAUUUCUGCAUUGUAUAUUUGUGUGUGUAUUUAUCCCUGGAAAUUUCUAGAAUGCUUGUAUAAUUCUCUGCAAGAAAAAAAAACAGAUAGAACACAAGCACAACAGUAACAUCGAAGUCUUUUUCUGCUUUGAAAGCAUCAAAGUCUUUUUCUGCUGAAAAGUUGGUAUUCAAAUUUGAACAUAAACAUUCAAAAUAUAGAAUGCUGCCACGUGCCGUUGCUAAAGCGCCGCUGUGCCUUUAAUUGGGGGCUCAGUUCUCUCUGCUUGUUCCUAUGCAAUUAUGUUAAUAUGCAGAGCUUGUCUGGUCUUUUUCAUUAACAGAGGCACUUGCAUCAUUGUUUCCUUUAUUUGUAAGCUCCACGGGCACCUUCCGUACAUCAGUGAUCUUUUUUACACGUCUUUUUUGAUGGGCUAUUCUGCCAAGCCUCCUCUUUUAGGAUAAAAAUAAAAAAAGCUCAUUUAUGGACAAGGAUGUCUUUUAGGCACACAGGGUUUCCACGCUCAUAGGCUACUGAAGAUUCUGGAAACGAUAAAAAAAAUCUGGGGCUGAUUCUGGGGCUAAGGAAAAUACAAGAGCGUAAGUACAAUCAUGUUUUAAAAAUAUAUCUAAUAACCAUAUGCAGUUUGUUACAGGAGAAAAAAUGGCACUGUUAUAGAAGAAAAAGAAGAGCAGAUGUAAAUAUUUCCCGUAUACUUUUUGUUCUUGUCUCUGAUCACUUGCUAGGUUUCCACUGUUGCAUAAAUUCUUUUUAUUCAAACAUGUAACAGAAUACCUCAAAAAAGUUACAUUUCUUAUUGUUGCAUAUGUUACAAUUAUAUAUAUUAUAUUAUUACUAUAUUGCUACAGACAGUUUAUUUUACAGCCUCAAUUCAGACUUUAUGGCUUGUAUUAUAGACUAUAGAGUUUUUAACUUUAAAAGAAACAGCUAUACAGAAAUAAAUAAUUUAAGGCGCGAGCGUGUGCAAAAGAUGCCAUCUGAAACUGGUCAGCUAUAUAAAUAAUAAUUUCUUGAAAUCCACUGCAUCUGUUUACUCUCAUCGGCCAACUGUAGGCUAUAAUCAUUUAUUUCAUUUAAAAAAAAGUUACAUGACAGAUAUUUCAAACAUACACUCCAUUUCUACACCUCAUUUGGUUUUAAAUAAUUUACUUAUUGUCUGUAUAUAAUAUAACAUUCUGAG